Oncorhynchus gorbuscha (pink salmon) is the source of this 3987-nucleotide long non-coding RNA. RefSeq lists it as uncharacterized. The transcript has 10 exons. The record is from RefSeq and is a predicted model, not a curated record. Lineage: Eukaryota; Metazoa; Chordata; Actinopteri; Salmoniformes; Salmonidae.
UGUUUUUUCUCACAGAAAAUGAGGACAACACUUCAGCGAAAACACUGGCAAAUCGGCCAUGACAAAGGCCUUCAGCAAACCGAAGGGCCACAGCAGGGGUGGCGUCCCAGUCCCAUCACCAAGAGCACGGCUGAUCCAAAGCCUAACGUCCCAGAGUGCAGAGUUUGUGAUGGAGGAGCAGAUGCAGCUAAGCACUGGACUGUAGACCCAAGAGAGACACUUUUCAGUGACACACUCAUCAUCACUAAAUCAAAGUCUUCCUCAAGCCUCAAACGGAAGGAGAGUGUGAGGCUGUGUGAGAUGUGGUUGGGUUCUUGAAUUGAAGAGGAUGAUGAGAGAAAACUCACCUCAAAGAACUCCUUUGUCAUUGGUUGGCGUACCACCAAUUACGUGGUGACUCUCAGGUAGGCUACUUCCAAUCAUUAAAUUCAAUUUUUCAAUUGCCAGAAAAAUUGAUUAAAAUUAACUUGGGGGGGAAAGAUGACAUUUGUUUUCCCAAUCAGUUCAUCUGAGGCAAAGGAGAAAUGGCUUUCAUCUUUACAAUGGCACAUCACCAAAUCCAAGAAAGUGGAAUAUCCCAGCAAUCUAACCAUGAAGGUUGUUCUCAUAAAUAUUGGAACUAGUGCAAUGACAACUGUGAAUGUGGACAAUAAAGACGAAGUUGACAAAGUACACAGGAUCUUCACCCAACAGUUAAGACUCACUGGCAGACCCACUGACUACCGGCUCUGGGUUGUCUCAGGGAGAGAGGAAGCCCCAUGCCCUCUUAUUGGUCAUGAGCAUCCCUUCAGUAUUAUCCUAAACUCCUUGAGGGAAACAGACUGCCAAGUCUCAGCAGUCACCAACAACAUAGAUGGGAGCCUCUACCUUGAUCACCUUCUCAAAGAUGCUUCUGGCCCAAACUUCAUCCUCAGGCUAAAGGCUGAUGUGGGAGGACUUGGCCGAGCAGGUUGCAGCUCUCGUUCAACAUCUCAUUGAAAACACCCCAGCGAUUUUUUGGUGAAGAUGUUGAGUGCAUUUUUACUGAGCCAAAGAAGGAACAAGGAACUGCAGAGGAUGUCAUGGUGGAGUCUUACCAGCAGGUCGACUCGUCUGAUUAUUGGGACUGAGAGAAGCAAGAAGGACAUCACUCUCCUAACAGGGAACCUUUUUCCUGCCAUUGGAGAAACUGGUCUUGAAAGAGAUUUUGGGGCUUCUGAAUGAGGUUGACUCCUUGAAAAAGCAACAUGUGACUGAGGACAGUGCUUAUAGCUGUGGGAAUCUAGACUUAAUGUCUUCCCUCUCCAGUAGGUCUAUCUGCUCCCUGAUGGGGACACAAAGUUUUUGCUCAGCCCGCUGCUCCUCAGAGCCCAUUGUGUGUCUAAGCUCCCCCCGGUUGGGGUCCCACAGCCAGCUCUACACUCUUGUCGCCCGCCAGUCCAGCUGCGAUGCAGCAGUGAUGUGUGGCCAUGCAGACCACUCCCAACACACACACACACAAAUCCCACACCAAGGGGCUACUAAAGUGGGACAGCAACCCCAGGGUAGAUGCCAGCAAGUCUAGGUAUGCCUUCUGGAGAUCCCCUCAUGUAGCCUCGAGGUUCUGGCACCUUGUCCAGAGGCUGGCCGUGUCCAACAGGUCCAGUUUCUCCAGCCUGUCCUCCACAGGCACCUCUCCAUCUACCUCCUCUCUGAGCUCCAAAGACAGUGCCUUCUCCUUCUGCACCGACUCUGUGUCCUCUCCCAACGAGCCCAACUCCCUCCCCUUCCUGUUCGGCAUGUCGGCACGGUUACGCCCUCUCACUCCAGACACCACAAAGACAUUUCCAAAAGAUUGGACCAUGACAUUCCCAGUGGCAGUUGCUCAGGCACCCAAGGAUUUGGAUGGGUAUAAUUGGUCUGAUGAGAGAAAAGGAGACUAGAAGCAUUGCCAUUCUAUUAGCAUUCAGAAUAGAGAAGACCACCAGAUGCUCACCCAAAGCCUCUGUAGUUUAAAAGGUGAGUAUAUUCAAAGCCCUGUCUCUCAACCAGACAGUGAAAGGAUUCACUCUGAUUGGAGAGGGGAACAGGUGCACCAGAGCCAGAAUGAUAAAGUGUGCAAGUUGUCAGAGUCAAAAGGACAGACCAAAGAAACAUCCAUUGCACACAUACAGCUGAGAAAUAAAAAAACUGUUUGUCAAGAAGGAAGAGGUGAAGGGGACGAAAAUUGCAUUUUACACCUCCUCUAACAGAAUGCUGGUGAAAAAACAGUCUGAUCAAUCUGUGGAACUGUGUGGAGUCUCUCUGGUAUCUGACACAGGGAGAGAACAUCAGGAAAUUGGGGAACUGCUGGCCCAAAGUGUGCAGCUCCACAUACCCCAGACAGUGUCCUAUGGUCAAAACACUCCACUGGUCCUGCAGUCUGUGUCAACCAGACAAUUUGCAAAUAACAAAAAGGAUGAAAGGCCAAAACAGAUAUUCACCUUGGUGAAGUGGUCCCUGAACAGUUGGGUGGUGGGUGCACUCCUCUCUCCCACACAUCAUCUAAAACUCAUGCCAAAACUGCAAGCACAAUCAGCCACAAUAAUGCAAGCACAAUCAGCCACAAGAAUGCAAGCACAAUCAGCCACAAUACUGCAAGCACAAUCAGCCAAAACUGCAAGCACAAUCAGCCACAAGACUGCAAGCACAAUCAGCCACAAGACCGAAUGUGCAAUCAGCCACACUAUUAGAAUAAAACUGCAAGCAACUGUCAGAAAUUCUGUGAGAGAAUACUUCAACUCAAGUGACAGCAAGAAUGGCCACUUAGAUGCAAAAUGGAACAAAAAAGAGCUCCUCCAGUGGCAAAAUAAAAUGUUGGAACCAACAGAAAAUGCCACAAAGCGAUCACAUGGUGAGGAGUUGUCUGAUUGUUAAUGCUCAUCAUUUGAUGUUUUGUAAUGGGCUGUCAGAAUGUAGAUCAUCCUGGGUUAUUUCACCCCCCUCUUUGUGUGUAUUUUUUGUGAAAUUAUAAAUUAAGUCAAUGAAGGAUCCCACUGGGCAUAGACAUCAGUUCAAAGUCUAAUUUUGAUUAACUUUAAGUUGAGUUGUCAUCUAAGGUGAAUUCAACAUGAAAUCAAGAAAACAUUUCACCAUGUCAUUGGAUUUAGGUUAAAAAAAAUAGGGUGAAAAAAAUACGAAAUGAUCUUAUAUUGAUGACUUUUUGCAAAUCCAAUCGGUUUUUACACAUGGAUUCAACAUCAUCACAUUUCAUUUUUUGGUUGAAAUGAUGUGGAAACAACAUUGAUUCAACCAGUUGUUGCCCAGUUGGAUGGUGCAGAUUGAAUGCAGGCACUCAAACCACUUAGACAGAGCACUUCCUCCAAAUGAGUGGGGAUUCAUAACCUUAAUAAUUUUCUAUACAGAAGCAUUAUGAAUAAGGACCAGACAUCUUGACAUCACUGUGAUGUAUGUGUUUCCUAAUGGGGCUGUGAUAAUCUGUCGCUGAAAAAGUAAAAACAACCAAAUUUGAGGCAAAUUAGGUAUAAGAUGCACAACUUGUAUAUGGGCAAACAUACACAUUUAUUUAAGUUUUUAUGGCCUGGAUUCUGUUUUGCAAACAAAACAAAUAUACAGAAUAAUUGUAACAAUAUAAAUACCUGAGAUGGAAUAUUAUCCAAACUGAGUUCCAAAUAAUGUAAAGUGAUUGUAUGGUGUGCAACACAUAUUCCUGCUGUAUAGUUAACAUCUGGUUAAUAAGUAAUCACCUACUUCUCACUUUUAUCGCUAAAGAAAAAUGACCAACGUAAAUCACAUUGCAUAUAGUGAGUUUAAAUGUUUGUUUUGUUUUUGCACAGUUCAGUGCUAUUUUGCAUUUGCAAAAUGAAGCCUCAUGUAUAGAUCUCAUUUAGACGCAUUGAUAUAACGGUCUUAAACACAUAGUAACAUAUACUGUACCACUUUUACCACAUCAUUGUCUGUUUUUAUGUAUGUUUUAUCCUAGAACUGUAACUUUGAACAAUAAUCAUAUGUAGCGUUAACCUUCAUAUC